CCCAGGGAAACUUGGAGUAAUACCGUAUACGCCCUACGGGGGAAAGAUUUAUCGCCUUUGGAUCGGCCCGCGUUGGAUUAGGUAGUUGGUGGGGUAAUGGCCUACCAAGCCGACGAUCCAUAGCUGGUUUGAGAGGAUGAUCAGCCACACUGGGACUGAGACACGGCCCAGACUCCUACGGGAGGCAGCAGUAGGGAAUCUUAGACAAUGGGCGCAAGCCUGAUCUAGCCAUGCCGCGUGUGUGACGAAGGCCUUAGGGUCGUAAAGCACUUUCGCCAGGGAUGAUAAUGACAGUACCUGGUAAGGAAACCCCGGCUAACUCCGUGCCAGCAGCCGCGGUAAUACGGAGGGGGUUAGCGUUGUUCGGAAUUACUGGGCGUAAAGCGCACGUAGGCGGACUGGAAAGUUGGGGGUGAAAUCCCGGGGCUCAACCCCGGAACGGCCUCCAAAACUAUCAGUCUAGAGUUCGAGAGAGGUGAGUGGAAUUCCGAGUGUAGAGGUGAAAUUCGUGGAUAUUCGGAGGAACACCAGUGGCGAAGGCGGCUCA
This 547-nucleotide ribosomal RNA is filed under the name uncultured bacterium. Its description in RNAcentral is "bacterial SSU rRNA". It matches the Rfam family "Bacterial small subunit ribosomal RNA", at positions 147 to 728 of the family's 1533-position model. The record is from RNAcentral.